UUUGAACAGGGCGGAGAGCAUUGUAAACGCCGUAUUUAGAAGGUCAGACUGUGGCUUUCUUCGCCAUAGACGCAAACUGCAGCAGGGAGGAUGGAUAGUGAAGCAAGUGACGCCAUUUUAGGGAGGGUAAGGUAAACACCAACGUCUUAACUGGUGAAGACAAAGUGAAUUAGUAGAGCCGAGUGCAGUGAUACACACCUGUAAUCCCAGCAUUUGGGAGGCUGAGGCAGGAAGAUCGCUGUGAGUUCGAAGCUAGGCUGGGCUGCAUAGUGAAGCCACCUCGAAUUACACAUGAAGCCUGCGUCUCAAAAAUAGAAUAGAAUAGAAUUUAGUAGACGUGGAAAAACAGAAAUAUUGGUUGGAGGCUUAUGCCAGGUAUUGUUGCGUUUCACACAUCAGUUAGUAAAUUCGUAAAAAAAAAGUCAUGUAGGAUGAGAAUUGUUGCAUUAACCUUAGUUGUUAGUUAAUAUUAAUAUAAUGCUUGUUUGGACCAUUUCACAUAUUUAAGCUUCCUGGAAUGUAGACUGAAGAAGCCAGCUUCCUGGGUUGGAAGCUGUGUGACCUUGGGCAAGUUCCUUAACCUCUCUCUGUCUCAGUUUCCAAAUGGGAGUAAAAUUAUGCUUACCUUAAAGAGUCUAAUGAGGAUUAAAUUAGCUAUUGUGCAAAAGUAUGGGUAUGAGACACAAACCCCUACAUUGUCUACCUUCUAACCCUUGGAAUCUGUGGAAAUAGGGAAUUUGCAGAGGUAUUAAAGACACUUAGUUGGAGAUACUAGUUUGCAUUUUUCAGGUGGCCCAAUGUCAUCAUAGGUUACAGGGUUCUGGGUUUCUGUAGACUCUUUCCCAGUCCUUGGUGUACUGAACAAAGAUGAGGUGCAUGAAAAGGGUAGUAAGCUUUACCUUUAUUAAAGGUAAGAAAAGAAAUACGAUCUGCAGUGUGAGAAUGGGCUACCGAGGUUCCACAGUGGCCAGGAGGUAAUGGAAAAAAUCUUCACAUCCUUUAUCCUUCAGGCCGAUGUCAGAUCAAGGCCAGUCUAUCAAAAGCCUGUUUUAUUUUGUGCUGAUAGAAUUGAAGACAGCACUUUCUGACUGGUCCCAGGUGCAGGAUUUGGGAACUAUGUUCUAGGCUGGAAUCCUGAGCUCUGUGACUGCUAGGCCACACACACUUGCUUAGCCACUUUGCCAUGUACUACCUAACCUGGCCUUCAGCUGUCUAACAGUUUUGAAGGAGGAAAGUGGGCCUGGGGCUGUGGAAUGCCAGACACCUCUAGAAGGUGGAGCAGACAGAGGGUUUUGCUGUGCACUUUGGGCUGGCUUUGAACUCACUUUGUAGCCCAGGCUGGUCUCAAACUUGCAGCAAUCCUCCUGCCUCAGCCUCCUGUGUGCGGGGAUUACACAGGUGCACCUCCACAUGGAUUAUUUUAUUUAAUGCUUACAAGGACCCCAGAGAUGAAGCUAUUAUCCUCCUGAUUCCAGAGGAGAAAAAUGAGGCCCAAGAGACCCCCAAGUCAUUUCCAUCGAGCAAGUGAGAGAGCCCAGAGGCGGAGUAUCACAGAGAUGCUGAAUUUACUAUUUGCAAGCUGUUUCCUUGUAGAGGAGCUUCAUCUGUGAAUGGGAGGACAAGAGAAAGAAGGAAGAAGUGAGGCGGAGAAGGCCAAUCAGUCGCUUGGAAACCAUGGACUUCGGUUUCCCGGCCCAGCUGGCUGUCAGCAGUGAAUCGAGUCAGCGCUGUGAUCCUGGGCAGCAAGAAAGAAAAGCAGCUUAGUUUGUGGCUGGCGCGGGAGACAGAGGUUAGCCUUCUCUGUCAGAUUCCAGUCAGAUCCGUAGCUGUCAUCUCCGUUUUAACUGCACACCCUUCUCAGACAGUCUCGCCUAAACAGCACCUGGCUGAUUGGGAGCGCCUGCCCAGGACGGGGUUACCAGGAGCAGGUUGGGGGGGCUCCUGCAUCUCCAUAACACACAGCAGGUCUGGAAAGCACAGGAAGCUCCUCUUGUACUGACCGGGCAGCUCUAGGCUUAUCCACGGCUUUGUUGCAUCCUGUUUCCUCACACUGUCCUCUGACAUGCGGGUCUGUCUGCCCUCAUCUUCCUCUGCCAGGUUGCCAGGACUGAGGCUGGAGCCCAGCAUGCCCCUGACCAGGGCACAUGUUCUGUUAGGGUGGCAUCUUUGAAACCUGGUCAUGGCCAGUGCUGUGUACAGACCUGGGCUUGCUCUGGAAAAAACAAAGUAGACGGGCACAACUUUCUCUGAAGAGAGUCCAGGUUUCCUGCACAGGAACCAGGGCUCAGGCCCAACCAUCCACUUUGUUGCCCUGAGCCUCGAUCCUCACAACCUACUGGGCACACAGCACCUGAGAGGACAGUGGACGAGGUUUGCAAGGUGCAGCGGUGCUGAGCUCGGUGCUUGCAGGAGAUGAGGCUCUGCUCAGUGGUGCCAGCCUUCUCCUGGCAGAAGGCGCAUGUGUGACAACAGUCUGUUGCAUACUCUGCAGUGUUUUGAAUGGCAGUUUGUGCUCACCCCUGAUGGGCGGCCUGGGAGUGAGGCUGGGGAUGGUGGGGGAUUAUCUUACUUUCCCUUGUCUCAGGGAUGUUAAUUACCCACCAGACUCUUAGGUGCUUUGAAUAAAGAAGGAGAAAGGAGGUUGAGACAGACAGGCACUCCUCCAUUUUUCACACCCUGUGGUGAUUUUCCGGCAGGAAGGUUCCUAAGGAUGGAUUGUGGCUGGACGCUGGCUGCAGCCACUGUGAUGCGCUCAUCGGGCUGAAGGGCUCAAUGUAGUCCUGGUGCCUUUGAGCUUGUAAGAGCCAUUUUUCUACACAUCCUGCUCCCUCCAACUAAACAUGUGUCUCCCCAGGCGCCAGCCCCCAGCCUCUUAACCUUUGUUCCAUCUCUGGCACUUGUAGUCUCCAGCAGUAAAUUACCCGGCAGGGGAUGAUGAAUGAGCUGAGCCAAAUGUAUGAAAAAAAAGAUCAGGCUGCAUCUAAGAAAAUGAGGCUGUAAGCAGAGCACAGGACAAGACAUAAAUAGUGAGACGCAACCUUGGAUGGCAGGAAGCUGACUUUUACUAGCAUCAGGCGCGGAAUCUGCUGCUGCUGGGGUCUUAUCCAAUUCCCCAGCAACUCCAGGGCAGGUGUUCUUAGUCUUCCUGUGUGUAGGGGAGGAAGCUAGAACACAGAGAGACUGAGUAACUUGGCCAAGGUCACACAGCUCAAGCGGUCCCAGGAUUGGACUGAACUGAGCAGUCCACACUACCUGCAGCUGUGUUAUGCAGCCCUUCAGCUCCCCUCAGGCAGCUGUUCCAGAAUACCUCUGCAGGAAGAGCUGAUCCUUAGGUCAUUGUGAGCCGAGACAACCCAGCAAGUGAAGGCCAGCCCUGUCAAGGGCCAGGCCAUGCUGAGCCUGCAGAGAGGGAGUCAAGAUGGGGAGUGUGACUUUUCCUGCUCCACCCCAAAGGGGAACCUGAGGCCACAGCUGGGGGAUACAGUGCUAAGGACCAGCAACCCAUAGACAAAGCCUGCUGGGAAGGCAGGGAGCCACCCCACUGUGAGGUGCUGGCACUAGGACAGUUCUCCAAACCCCCAUAGCAAGUGAGAGACUCCAGUGAGCCACAGAGACAUGAAGGAUCUGGCCAUGCUGGAGAGGUAUCGUCUGGGACCACAGGUGUGGGCUACCACGCCCAACUCCUGAAGGUGACUGCUUGAGUUGGCAGCGUUGGGGAAGCACAGAAACAACAGAAGAAAUCUGGAAACAAAUGAUCCAGAGCGGGUGGCUUUACAGGCAGAGAUGACCCAUCUCACACUUCCUGGCCGGAGCCCAAGAAGCAGGUGUCACAGGGCCCUGAGUCCCGCCUCCCUGGCUCCUCCAGCUCCCUUGGCUAGGGGCGAGUGCUCAGCUCUGCAUCUCUGUCAAAGGACACCAGUAACGGAUGGAGACAGGGUCUCCACACCAGGGUGACCUGGUAACUCACUACACUCCUAUGUUUCCAUCAUAGGUCAUUUUCUGGACUGAGCCUUACCAACUAGGCAUGAGGCUUUUGGGGAACAAAUGCCUACAGCAAACAAGAAGAGAGUUCUUGGAUACAAUUAAGGUCAUACUUCAAGAAACUAGGAAGGGGAAACCCUCAAGUCAGUAGGAAAAGAGAAAUAGUAAAGAUCAGAACAACGUAGCCGUUUUGACUCACAUGGAAACUGAAGCUGGGGGCAUCUGUGGCUGUGCCUGCAGCUGUGGGGAGCUGCUGACCUUGGGUGCCACCACCCACCCCUUCCAGAGGACAGGACUUGUGCCCCCCUUCUCUCCUCUCCCCACUGUGUCCCCCAUAUAAUGCUAGAAUAGUCAGGCUCAUCAGCAGCCGCCGUCUGGGUUGAGCAUCUCCUUGGGGACAGAGGCAAGAGCCCCACGAUCCUCCCACAGACACACACAGUCCCAGGGUCUGAGCUGCUUAUUGCAAAUGCCCCGAUGCCCACUUUAAUUUCCUGCCUGGUCUUGAUGGAUGCAGAUAGAGAGAGCUGGGGGAUGGUGCUGCUCACAAGAGUGAGCUCAGGACCUGCAAGGGAGAGGCAAGAAGAGGAAGGAAGGCUGUGGCUCUGGGGUCUGCACCCCAGUCUGAACCCUACCCAAGACUUCAUUCUCAGAGUGGCAGCACACGGGGAAGGGGCUGUCCUCCUGGUUUGCCUUAUGCACCUGUGAGUUCAUGUGUUCAGUGUGCACCCUGUAAACAUGGGCUCCCCUGCCAUGGGGGCCCCAUGGCAGCUGAGGACACCUGAGGGUUCCUAGGCCCAUUUCAUAGCUGUAGAGGAAUCCAAGGAUUGGGGAACCUGGUGCAGACCCAGGGAUGGGAUCUUGAGGUGGGGAUAUCAAGACAAGCAGACCUCUAUAGUAGGUGGCUGAGACCGCCUUGUCCCCAACUCAGAACUCAGGAGAGGGCAUGGACCCCACACAGGUUGGAGUCUCCAAGACACUGCACAGGGUCACGUGGACUUGAUCCCUAUGGUGGCCUCCAGUGUCCCCCACUCCUUCAUGAACUCCCUUUUUUUAGUACUGGGAAUCGAACUCAUGACCUCACGCUUGCCAGGCAGGCCACUGUGCUGCUGAGCUAUAUCCCUGGUGAGCUCCCAUUUUUGUUUGGGAUGUUAGGGUUCAACUGUGGACAUCCCCCAAAAGCUUGGCUAUUGGACAGCUGUGUCUGAGACAUGGCUUGGGGAAGGGUUAGGACCAUGCCGCUCCUCCGUGAAUGAAUCCAUUCUGGGAUUUCAUAGCUUUAGUUUAGUGGCUCUUGGGAGCCAAUGCAAGUGAGGGAAAGUGGGGUCCAGCCAGAGGAAGCAGGUCACUAGGGCUGACCCGGAAGGGGAUGGUGGGACCUCUCCUAGUCACUUUCUCAUCUCUAAGGUGCAGUGUCUGACCCUCGCAGCUCAAAGAGGAGAGGUUUAUUUGAGAGGUUGUAGAAGUUUCAGUCCAGGAUCCAUCAGCUGUGAGGCAGGGCAGCAUGGCCCAGGGGCGCGGCAGAGGAGAAGCCCCUUGUGGCAAGGUGUACAGGACCGGAAGUCAAGGGGGGGAGCAAGAGGGUGAUAAAUCCUUCUGGGUCACACUCUAGUGACCAGAUCUUGGCUCCUGAGAGAGAGUCAGCUGCAGUCCCAGGAUCCGACCACAUUCCAGAUGCCCCAAGCUGAGUGUGUGAGGCUCAGAGGACUCUAGACAUCAAUUGUAAGAGGCCCUCCCCAUCCCCCUGUCCACCUCUGCCUCUGCCUCUGCCUCUGCCUCUGUCUCUGCUUGCUGGCUCCCACACCCCUGCUGCCACUAGGUUCUACCCUGCCACAGGCCCAAAAGCAACUGAACCAAUCACAGACUGAAAUCUUGGGAACCGUGAGCCAAAAUAAAUUCUUCUUCCUUUCAA
This is a long non-coding RNA of Cavia porcellus (domestic guinea pig), 5890 nucleotides long. RefSeq lists it as uncharacterized. The record is from RefSeq and is a predicted model, not a curated record. Lineage: Eukaryota; Metazoa; Chordata; Mammalia; Rodentia; Caviidae. The transcript has 2 exons.